AUCAACUUUCGAUGGUAGGAUAGAGGCCUACCAUGGUGGUAACGGGUAACGGGGUGUUAGGGCACGACACCGGAGAGGGAGCCUGAGAAACGGCUACCACAUCCAAGGAUGGCAGCAGGCGCGCAAAUUACCCAAUCCCGACACGGGGAGGUAGUGACAAUAAAUAACAAUACGGGGUUCUUUAGGAUCUCGUAAUUGGAAUGAGUACAAUUUAAAUCUCUUAACGAGGAACAAUUGGAGGGCAAGUCUGGUGCCAGCAGCCGCGGUAAUUCCAGCUCCAAUAGCGUAUAUUAAAGUUGUUGCAGUUAAAAAGCUCGUAGUUGAAUUUCGGGGUCAGUAGGUUGGUCGUGCCACCGGUACGUACUGGUCUCACUGAUUCCUCCUUCCCGAUGAGCUGUAAUGCCAUUAAUUUGGUGUUGCAGGGAAUCUGGACUGUUACUUUGAAAAAAUUAGAGUGUUUAAAGCAGGCUAACGCUUGAAUACAUUAGCAUGGAAUAAUGAAAUAGGACGUUCGAUCCUAUUUUGUUGGUUUCUAGGAUUGACGUAAUGAUUAAUAGGGAUAGUUGGGGGCAUUAGUAUUCAAUUGUCAGAGGUGAAAUUCUUGGAUUUAUUGAAGACUAACUACUGCGAAAGCAUUUGCCAAGGAUGUUUUCAUUAAUCAAGAACGAAAGUUAGGGGAUCGAAGACGAUCAGAUACCGUCGUAGUCUUAACCAUAAACUAUGCCGACUAGGGAUCGGAUGAUGUUAAUUUUUUAAUGACUCAUUCGGCGCCUUACGGGAAACCAAAGUGUUUGGGUUC
This 799-nucleotide ribosomal RNA is filed under the name uncultured Glomus. RNAcentral describes it as "SSU rRNA". It matches the Rfam family "Eukaryotic small subunit ribosomal RNA", at positions 314 to 1114 of the family's 1831-position model. Lineage: Eukaryota; Fungi; Glomeromycota; Glomeromycetes; Glomerales; Glomeraceae. The record is from RNAcentral.